UUGACAAGGUUCCAGCCAAUCAGCGCCCUGCCCUCCCCAGGCACGUGAUUGGCUCAGACACAGGGGUGUGGCUCCAUCAGGGCCAAUCAGGUGCCAAGACACUUGGCAGCAGGGUCCUGAUCCGUCUGCCUCAGCCUGCUCCCCAUCCUUCCCUCCCGCUCCCUUGUCCCUCAUCUCAGCGAGGCCACCUCCACAGCAUCGGAGCCAGACUGUCCCUGCCCUCCCCUCCUGGCCACCAGCCCUCCCCACAGCCACUCCAGCAAUCCCACAUCCACUUUGGCACAGUGACCCUCCAAUUCGGGGAAGGUCCUGGAUCCUUCUCUGCUCCCCUCCAACCCUUCCUGCCCCACUGCCUCCCCCCUUCCGCUGCCACAGCCUGGUUCCUGGUCUUGCACCCCCCCUGCCCAUCAUGGCCCUUAGGGUUCCCUUUGAAUUUCCAUCCCAGCGCAGUAAGAACCCGGGGCCCUGACGUUCUGUUCUCUCCUAAGUGGCAGUUGGACUCUCCCCAUGACCCCGCAAGUGUACGUGCUGACCUGUCUCCACGCACAGGGAGUGUUCCAGACUGUGCUCACCUGGGUCUCCAUCAGCUCUUCCCCGCUGCAGCCAGGCUCUGAACACCUGGGAGAUCUCCUGAGGGCUGGAAGGGCACCGUGCCUGUGGCUACAUUUGUGGCAGCGUGUGGGACAGCACAGUUACGGACAGUAGGUGGAGGCCCUAGAGAGCCUGAGCAGGAGGACACGGCAUGACAUAUGCUGGGAAGGGCGCCCUACGCGGCCACGCGGGGAGCUGCAGGGGUGUGCACAGAAGCGGGAGCUCACGGACCUUGUGCAGGAAGGAUUCAAAACAAGGCAUCAAGGCAUGAGAGAACUCCAAGGUAAAGAUCGCUCAGUGCAUAUUUAGGUCCUGAAGGGCCUACCUAUGAGGUGGCCACCAGGGGACAGGGGCAGUGACCGUGAAGAAAUCUGCCCACACACGUGGAAGAUCCCUGACCUCAGCCAAGUUGUGCCCUGGGUAAUCAGGGAUGAGCCCCCCAAAGUGUAUGUUACAUGAGGUUCCCAAGGUGGUGGCCUUCAGCCACUCCCCCCCCCAGAGCCCUCUCUGUCCUCCCAGAAGCCCCUCAAAAGUUCCCUCACUCACCUGCCGACUUCACCCCUGUCCCCCCCCCCGGUAGAAUCACCCUCAGCAGUUCUGUCCAGAACCAAGUAGCUUUCAGGGCCAGGCUGGCCAUUGGUGCUGUCCAGGGUGCUGAACGCCGCCGGGACACCAGGGUGGGGACAGUACCCUCAGCCCACAGGUGGACACGUGCGGGGAUCCAAUAGCAGAACUGACUACUGUUUUAGUGUUUCCUUCAUGCCCUAAAUCCAACCGGUAAGAGCUUGAAAAUACAGGAUGGAGAGAUUUUCUGACUAAAAUGAUGCUUCUGAGCUGAAGCCUGGGGAGAUAGUACUUUAUGCUGAAUGUCCUCAGAGACAGUGCAGAUUCGGAGACACAGCACAUCACCAGCUUCACUCAGAAGUCUGCAGGCUGAAGAUCCGUGGCGGUGGGAACAAUGCUGAUGUGGUUAUCAACCCGCUCAGGAAAUGUUUAUCCACUCCUCCCGAUCAUAACACUGUGCUGGGUGGACAUUCAGGGGCUCGCAAAGAGACGUAAGGUGGGGUCUGAAUCUGGAGGGUUAGAGACAAUCGUGAGUCAACAUUAAGUAUAGAAUACUAAAGAUGAGGUGACACAUAUUACAAUGCUGUCACCAUCUAGCUGGUAAAUUUAGGAAGUAACCAGCUUUGUCAGGAACUGGCGUCCUGGGAGCUCGCUGCGGAGUCUGGGGUUGAGAAAUGUUAACAGGACACCUUCAUGUUACGCCUAGUUUCCUAUCACGAUCCCACAUCUCCAUGAAGGUUAACCUAAGACUUAUUGUUGUUACUGGAGCUUUGGAAGAGGGUCAUCCAUGAACAGUAUUAGCCUCAAGGAAAGGAGAAAAAUGUGUUAGUACUUAGUCAUAGUGUCAGAUAGCAACCAUGUUUCUCUGCAUGUGUGUCUCUCUCUCUCUCUGCCACAUGCAUGCAAUCUUCUGCUUCUUUCUAUGUGCAAAUGUCGAUAUUCUGUACCUCACACUGGCUCUCCCCCAUGGACUCCAGGCACUGACUUCUGUAGAGAUUCACACUUCCAACAUAAUGCACGAGUACAUAAUAGGUAAUGUCCUUCCCUCUUGGUUCGAGUCUAGAGUUCUCCAUUUGGUGCAGUGAUGUCAGCAGUCUGGCCCAGGCCAAUUACCACAGUGAGGAGAAGGCUCUGUUGAGAGGGUUGCAAUUACGUGGUUGGGAGACGCCUCUUCCGUGGUGUCUGUUCUGGGGACACUGGAUGAUAAACAGUGGCUGCACGAGUGAGACAUUACCGAGCACCUGCACGUGCCCCUGACCCAGCGUUUUUACGAGUGAGAUCCCGUUUCGUUCUUAAAACAUCACUGCGAAGUGCCUCAAUUUUACAAGUGAUUGAUAUUCAGAGAGAAAAAGUUAAUUUUCCAUGCUGAUUCGCCCGCUAGGUGGUGGGACUGAGAUUCUCAUCCAGCUCUUUCUUUUAGUGCCAUCUGCCUCCUAUGCGGCCAGUGACAACAAGCACAGUUAUUAAGCCUCUGCUUUUAAUGGUCUUCCUAGGACACUUGCAAGUUGUUCUUUUCCAUAAUGGCACUCACAGGUCUCCUUUGUGAUUUUUCAUCUGCUUUCUUGUGUACAUGGAUGGCUUGCUUGAAACCCUUUUACAUAUUUUCAUGGGCUACAGAGGGGUAAACAGUGUCAACCACCUCUAUGACAGCAUGUUUCUGUCAUAAGGCGAGCCAAAGUGUGUGACCCCUGACCUUUGGGAGGAAAGAUGAGCAACACACACAUGCACACUCACACACAAACACACAUACAAAUACACAUACAAACACACACCCGUGCACACUCACAUAUACACAUUCAUACACAUA
Molecule: long non-coding RNA, 2962 nt
Organism: Leopardus geoffroyi (Geoffroy's cat)
Lineage: Eukaryota; Metazoa; Chordata; Mammalia; Carnivora; Felidae
Exons: 3
Source: RefSeq, a predicted model, not a curated record